CUGUAAAUCUCCACGCAAGAAAUCGCAACGAAGACAAAAUAAUGUUAUUUUAUUGUUUUGACGAUGCAAAAGCUUACAUAAAAAGAAAUGAAAUUGAUACGAAUAACCUACAUAGAAAACUUUGGUAAUUCAGUUUUUACUUCAUCCUCCCAUAAGGUUUGUUGGGUCCAUGGGGUGAACCCUCACAUGUAUGUGAGCCUUGGACAUCAGGUUCUGAAAUGCCACCAUGUUACAGACAAGAAUAAGAAGACAAAACUGGAAAAGGAAAAGACAAAGACAGUUAGCAGUGAGCAACAUUCAUAUGCUAAAUAGAAAACAAGGCAUGCAGUGCAGCUCUCCAAAAAAUUGGACUGUCCUGCUUCUAUCAUUCUGAAAGAAGUGUUGAUAUAUACCCCUGAAGAGGUUGGAUGUGUUUUUUUUCUUUUAUUUAAUUUACCCACAAG
Dreissena polymorpha is the source of this 443-nucleotide long non-coding RNA. RefSeq lists it as uncharacterized. Lineage: Eukaryota; Metazoa; Mollusca; Bivalvia; Myida; Dreissenidae. The record is from RefSeq and is a predicted model, not a curated record. The transcript is spliced from 3 exons.